UGGGGAAUAUUGGACAAUGGGGGCAACCCUGAUCCAGCCAUGCCGCGUGAGUGAUGAAGGCCUUCGGGUUGUAAAGCUCUUUUGGCGGGGACGAUGAUGACGGUACCCGCAGAAUAAGCCCCAGCUAACUUCGUGCCAGCAGCCGCGGUAAGACGAAGGGGGCAAGCGUUGUUCGGAAUUACUGGGCGUAAAGGGCGCGUAGGCGGUUUGCUUAGUCAGGCGUGAAAGCCCUGGGCUUAACCUGGGAUGUGCGCUUGAUACUGGCAGGCUUGAGUGUGGGAGAGGUUGGUGGAAUUCCCAGUGUAGAGGUGAAAUUCGUAGAUAUUGGGAAGAACACCGGUGGCGAAGGCGGCCAACUGGACCACAACUGACGCUGAGGCGCGAAAGCGUGGGGAGCAAACA
Molecule: ribosomal RNA, 402 nt
Filed under: uncultured bacterium
Lineage: Bacteria
Description: bacterial SSU rRNA
Rfam family: Bacterial small subunit ribosomal RNA
Source: RNAcentral